AACKACUCUCKGCAACGGAUAUCUCGGCUCUCGCAUCGAUGAAGAACGUAGCGAAAUGCGAUACUUGGUGUGAAUUGCAGAAUCCCGUGAACCAUCGAGUUUUUGAACGCAAGUUGCGCCCGAAGCYUCUGCUGAGGGCACGUCUGCCUGGGCG
Molecule: ribosomal RNA, 154 nt
Filed under: Silene bupleuroides
Lineage: Eukaryota; Viridiplantae; Streptophyta; Magnoliopsida; Caryophyllales; Caryophyllaceae
Description: 5.8S ribosomal RNA
Rfam family: 5.8S ribosomal RNA
About the family: 5.8S ribosomal RNA (5.8S rRNA) is a component of the large subunit of the eukaryotic ribosome. It is transcribed by RNA polymerase I as part of the 45S precursor that also contains 18S and 28S rRNA. Functionally, it is thought that 5.8S rRNA may be involved in ribosome translocation.
Source: RNAcentral